AUUGAACGCUGGCGGCAGGCCUAACACAUGCAAGUCGAGCGGAUGAAGGGAGCUUGCUCCUGUAUUCAGCGGCGGACGGGUGAGUAAUGCCUAGGAAUCUGCCUUGUAUUUGGGGAUAACGUCCGUAAACGGGCGCUAAUACCGCAUACGUCCUGAUGGUGAAAGUGGGGGAUCUUCGGACCUCACGCUAUCAGAUGAGCCUAGGUCGGAUUAGCUAGUUGGUGGGGUAAAGGCCUACCAAGGCGACGAUCCGUAACUGGUCUGAGAGGAUGAUCAGUCACACUGGAACUGUGACACGGUUCAGACUCCUACGGGAGGCAGCAGUGGGGAAUAUUGGACAAUGGGCGAAAGCCUGAUCCAGCCAUGCCGCGUGUGUGAAGAAGGUCUUCGGAUUGUAAAGCACUUUAAGUUGGGAGGAAGGGCAGUAAGUUAAUACCUCGCUGUUUUGACGGUACCAACAGAAUAAGCACCGGCUAACUUCGUG
Molecule: ribosomal RNA, 484 nt
Filed under: uncultured bacterium
Lineage: Bacteria
Description: partial 16S ribosomal RNA
Rfam family: Bacterial small subunit ribosomal RNA
Source: RNAcentral